UGAGGAAUCUUGCGCAAUGGGCGAAAGCCUGACGCAGCGACGCCGCGUGAGGGAUGAAGGCCUUCGGGUUGUAAACCUCUGUCAGGGGGGAAGAAUCCGGAGUCGGUGAAUACCCGACUCCACUGACGGUACCCCCAGAGGAAGCACCGGCUAACUCCGUGCCAGCAGCCGCGGUAAGACGGAGGGUGCAAACGUUGUUCGGAAUCACUGGGCGUAAAGGGCGCGUAGGCGGACUCGUAAGUCGGGAGUGAAAACUCGGGGCUCAACCCCGAGCCUGCUUCUGAAACUGCGAGUCUUGAGGACCGGAGAGGAAAGUGGAAUUCCUAGUGUAGCGGUGGAAUGCGUAGAUAUUAGGAAGAACACCAGUGGCGAAGGCGACUUUCUGGACGGUUCCUGACGCUGAGGCGCGAAAGCUAGGGGAGCAAACAGGAUUAGAUACCCUGGUAGUCCUAGCCGUAAACGAUGAGUGCUAGGUGGUGGUAGUUUCAACACUUUCACCGCCGCAGCCAACGCAUUAAG
RNAcentral lists this ribosomal RNA (519 nucleotides) under uncultured bacterium. RNAcentral describes it as "bacterial SSU rRNA". It matches the Rfam family "Bacterial small subunit ribosomal RNA", at positions 355 to 864 of the family's 1533-position model. The record is from RNAcentral.